RNAcentral lists this unclassified non-coding RNA (334 nucleotides) under soil metagenome. RNAcentral describes it as "partial contains 5.8S ribosomal RNA, internal transcribed spacer 2, and large subunit ribosomal RNA". The stretch from base 1 to 120 matches the Rfam family "5.8S ribosomal RNA", at positions 35 to 154 of the family's 154-position model. The record is from RNAcentral.
GAUGAAGAACGUAGUGAAAUGCGAUAAGUAAUGUGAAUUGCAGAAUUCAGUGAAUCAUCGAAUCUUUGAACGCACAUUGCGCCUGCCAGUAUUCUGGCGGGCAUGCCUGUUCGAGCGUCAUUUCAACCAUCAAGCCCCAGGCUUGUGUUGGAGCCCUGCGGCUGCCGCAGCCUCCCAAAACCAGUGGCGGGCUCGCUAUCACACCGAGUGCAGUAGUUUACUCUUCGCUCAGGGCGUGUGGCGGGUGCUAGCCGUAAAACCCCCAACUUCUCAAGGUUGACCUCGGAUCAGGUAGGAAUACCCGCUGAACUUAAGCAUAUCAAUAAGCGGAGGA